RNAcentral lists this long non-coding RNA (550 nucleotides) under Brassica napus (rape). RNAcentral's name for it is "long non-coding RNA (BNAP_LNC024782)". The record is from RNAcentral. Lineage: Eukaryota; Viridiplantae; Streptophyta; Magnoliopsida; Brassicales; Brassicaceae.
GUUUAUUCAUUUGAGUAAGUAUACUUGUAUAAUAAAAAUAUCCGAAGAUUGAAGUCUUCACUGAGUAUAACCCAUAUAAUACAAACACAGAGUAAAGGCUUAACUCACAAAAUCUAUGAAGGUUAAGCAUUGACUAGAUAAUUUCACUCUGCUAUUCUUUUUCUGAAACCAUUAUACCAUACUCUUUUCAUUUUAUGAUGAUAAAAUGAUAAAAUGAACCAUUAUACCAUACUCUUUUCAUUUUAUGAUGAUAAGAUGAUAAAAUGAUGUUUCACAAUACAUAUAAUCUUAAUUUCCAUUAGUUUAGUUUAUUCAUUUGAGUAAGUAUACUUGUAUAAUAAAAAUAUCCGAAGAUUGAAGUCUUCACUGAGUAUAACCCAUAUAAUACAAACACAGAGUAAAGGCUUAACUCACAAAAUCUAUGAAGGUUAAGCAUUGACUAGACACAAUGUUUUCUUCUUAUUGUGUAAUACCAUCAUAUUUCUAAAACAUAAACAUCCUGAAAAGGCUGUUAUAUCGUCGAAUGGGGGUGGACAUAAAAAUCAUACAC